GACGAACGCUGGCGGCGUGCCUAACACAUGCAAGUCGAGCGGAGUCAGUAAGAGGAAGUUUUCGGAUGGAAUCUUAUUGAUUUAGCGGCGGACGGGUGAGUAACGCGUGAGCGACCAACCUUGCACAGGGGGAUAACGGACCGAAAGGUUCACUAAUACCGCAUGAGACCACGGUGUUGCAUGACACAGAGGUCAAAGGAGCAAUCCGGUGCAAGACGGGCUCGCGUCCGAUUAGGUAGUUGGAGGGGUAACGGCCCACCAAGCCUAUGAUCGGUAGCCGACCUGAGAGGGUGAUCGGCCACAUUGGAACUGAGAUACGGUCCAAACUCCUACGGGAGGCAGCAGUGGGGAAUAUUGGGCAAUGGGGGAAACCCUGACCCAGCAACGCCGCGUGAAGGAAGAAGGUUUUCGGAUUGUAAACUUCUGUCCUUGGUGAAGAGAAGAAGACGGUAGCCAAGGAGGAAGCCCCGGCUAACUACGUGCCAGCCGCCGCGGUAA
Molecule: ribosomal RNA, 498 nt
Filed under: uncultured bacterium
Lineage: Bacteria
Description: partial 16S ribosomal RNA
Rfam family: Bacterial small subunit ribosomal RNA
Source: RNAcentral